Molecule: unclassified non-coding RNA, 117 nt
Organism: Macaca fascicularis (crab-eating macaque)
Lineage: Eukaryota; Metazoa; Chordata; Mammalia; Primates; Cercopithecidae
Rfam family: Metazoan signal recognition particle RNA
About the family: The signal recognition particle (SRP) is a universally conserved ribonucleoprotein.
Source: Ensembl
GCCAGGUGCGGUGGCUCGCACCUGUAAUCCCAGCACUUUGGGAGGCUGAGGUGGGUGGAUCACCUGAGGUCAGGAGUUCGAGACCAGCCUGGCCAACAUGGUGAAACCCUGUCUCUA